GCCCCUGUAGCUCAGUGGUAGAGCGCGUCCUUGGUAAGGACGAGGCCACGGGUUCAAAUCCCGUCGGGGGCU
This 72-nucleotide transfer RNA is filed under the name Candidatus Gugararchaeum adminiculabundum. RNAcentral's name for it is "tRNA-Thr(ggt)". It matches the Rfam family "tRNA". Rfam says of the family: Transfer RNA (tRNA) molecules are approximately 80 nucleotides in length. Their secondary structure includes four short double-helical elements and three loops (D, anti-codon, and T loops). Lineage: Archaea; Nanobdellati; Microcaldota; Candidatus Micrarchaeia; Candidatus Gugararchaeales; Candidatus Gugararchaeaceae. The record is from RNAcentral.